This 429-nucleotide ribosomal RNA is filed under the name Actinomycetes bacterium. Its description in RNAcentral is "Actinobacteria bacterium partial 16S ribosomal RNA". It matches the Rfam family "Bacterial small subunit ribosomal RNA", at positions 355 to 776 of the family's 1533-position model. The record is from RNAcentral. Lineage: Bacteria; Bacillati; Actinomycetota; Actinomycetes.
UAGGGAAUCUUCCGCAAUGGGCGAAAGCUUGACGGAGCAACGCCGCGUGAGUGAUGAAGGUCUUCGGAUCGUAAAACUCUGUUAUUAGGGAAGAACAAAUGUGUAAGUAACUAUGCACGUCUUGACGGUACCUAAUCAGAAAGCCACGGCUAACUACGUGCCAGCAGCCGCGGUAAUACGUAGGUGGCAAGCGUUAUCCGGAAUUAUUGGGCGUAAAGCGCGCGUAGGCGGUUUUUUAAGUCUGAUGUGAAAGCCCACGGCUCAACCGUGGAGGGUCAUUGGAAACUGGAAAACUUGAGUGCAGAAGAGAAAAGUGGAAUUCCAUGUGUAGCGGUGAAAUGCGAAGAGAUAUGGAGGAACCCCAGUGGCGAAGGCGACUUUCUGGUCUGUAACUGACGCUGAUGUGCGAAAGCGUGGGGAUCAAACAGG